UUCGCCCUUAGAGUUUGAUCCUGGCUCAGGACGAACGCUGGCGGCGUGCCUAACACAUGCAAGUCGAACGGAGAUGUUUAUUUCGGUAGAUAUCUUAGUGGCGCACGGGUGAGUAACGCGUGAAUAACCUGACCCGAAGAGGGGGAUAACACCUGGAAACAAGUGCUAAUACCGCAUAAGACCACGGACCGGCAUCGGUCAGAGGUCAAAGGAGGAAUCCGCUUUGGGAGGGGUUCGCGUCCCAUUAGGUAGUUGGUGAGGUAACGGCCCACCAAGCCGACGAUGGGUAGCCGAGCUGAGAGGCUGAUCGGCCACACUGGAACUGAGACACGGUCCAGACUCCUACGGGAGGCAGCAGUGGGGAAUAUUGGGCAAUGGGCGCAAGCCUGACCCAGCAACGCCGCGUGAGGGAAGAAGGUUUUCGGAUUGUAAACCUCUGUCGCAGGGGACGAAGGAAGUGACGGUACCCUGUAAGAAAGCCCCGGCUAACUACGUGCCAGCAGCCGCGGUAAUACGUAGGGGGCGAGCGUUGUCCGGAAUUACUGGGCGUAAAGGGAGCGUAGGCGGUCGAUUAAGUUAGAUGUGAAACCCCCGGGCUUAACUUGGGGACUGCAUCUAAUACUGGUUGACUUAGAGUACAGGAGAGGGAAGCGGAAUUCCUAGUGUAGCGGUGAAAUGCGUAGAUAUUAGGAGGAACACCAGUGGCGAAGGCGGCUUUCUGGACUGACACUGACGCUGAGGCUCGAAAGCGUGGGGAGCAAACAGGAUUAGAUACCCUGGUAGUCCAUGCCGUAAACGAUGAUUACUAGGUGUUGGGGGAUUGACCCCCUCAGUGCCGCAGUUAACACAAUAAGUAAUCCACCUGGGGAGUACGACCGCAAGGUUGAAACUCAAAGGAAUUGACGGGGGCCCGCACAAGCAGUGGAGUAUGUGGUUUAAUUCGAAGCAACGCGAAGAACCUUACCAGGUCUUGACAUCCGAUGCAUAGCACAGAGAUGUGUGAAAUCCUUCGGGACAUCGAGACAGGUGGUGCAUGGUUGUCGUCAGCUCGUGUCGUGAGAUGUUGGGUUAAGUCCCGCAACGAGCGCAACCCUUAUUGCCAGUUACUACGUUAAGAGGACUCUGGCGAGACUGCCGUUGACAAAACGGAGGAAGGUGGGGAUGACGUCAAAUCAUCAUGCCCUUUAUGACCUGGGCUACACACGUACUACAAUGGCGUUAAACAAAGAGAAGCAAGACCGCGAGGUGGAGCAAAACUCAAAAACAACGUCUCAGUUCAGAUUGCAGGCUGCAACUCGCCUGCAUGAAGUCGGAAUUGCUAGUAAUCGCGGAUCAGCAUGCCGCGGUGAAUACGUUCCCGGGCCUUGUACACACCGCCCGUCA
This 1383-nucleotide ribosomal RNA is filed under the name uncultured bacterium. RNAcentral describes it as "16S ribosomal RNA". It matches the Rfam family "Bacterial small subunit ribosomal RNA". The record is from RNAcentral.